CGAGCGAAGGGUACCCUCGAGCGAGGCCACACCAGAUCCCAUUGCCGCUGCCCUUGCACUCGCAUCCCUCCGCCGCCGCCCUGGCACAUCAAGCCGCCGCAGAUCCAUCCAUUUGCCGCCACCCUCGCACAUGAAGCCACCGCCGAUCCCUGUGCUACCUCGACGGGAGCCAUUAAUCGUCUCGCUACAACUUGAAGCUGCAACUUGGGCGGUGCCAUGGAUCCUUGUGCAGAGAAAACAAGACGGGGGGAGGUCAGGGAGGAGCAGUAGGAGGAGUGAAGGAAAAGAAGGCGGCGGAGAAGGCUCUGCUCACCGGAGAGCUCGAUCGGCGGCGACGAACUCCGAGCCGCACGUUCUGGUGACGGAGGGCUGGAACCGGUCGAUGGGGAGACCUAUAGGCGCGCGACGGCGACGGUUUGGGACGGCGGCGAAGCUGCAACUCGGACGGCGCCAUGGCUUCCUAUGCAGAGAAAACGAGAUGAGGGGGAGGUUAGGGAGGAGCAGAAAAAAGGCGGCGGAGAAGGCCCUGCUCGCCGGAGAGCUCGACUGGCGUCGACGCUCGCUGUAGCGGGAGUAUGCUCGGGCGUACCGGCAUGAGAGCUGCAGUUGGUGGGAAUUGGCUGCGGGCAUAGGAACCGUGGAUUGAUCCCACGUACACACAGCACUUCUCGGCUCUACGAAAUCCAUGGCUCAAGUGCGUGUCCCGGGGUCCGAGCCUCUAUCACUUCUUCAGUUCCGGCUUGCUUCAAGAACAAAAAAUUUCUGUGUGGAAGACCACUAGCAGAACUGAAUGUUUUAUAUAGCAGGAUAAGGAUACAUGCUUGUACUGCCUCUAUCAUAAAUUGCACAUGAGUUGAUUCCGAGUUUAGACAGCUAGCAAUCAAUCGCUCUGAAGCAAGGGUUCUCUCAGCGGCUUGCUCGAAUCGUCCACCACCGACCGCCACUGGUGCAAGCUGAAACUCACCCGGGGGAGCACUGGCUGGCGCGACCGUGGCAGCGAGGACCAGGUCAAGGCUUCGCAAUAAGCGCCGGAUCAAGCCAUGAAACACGUUGACAGAUUAGUUUUCCACCUCAUGUUUACUUCACCAUGUAGUUGGGUGUAACGUGAGUUCUGCUCUUCUGCUAGGCUGUUGGGAGGAGCGACCCUGCCAUCACGUGGAGAACGAGCGGCUCUUGGUGCUCGACAAGGUGCCUGAGCAAGGCAUAUUAGUGGAGAUGGCUUGACCCUGAACUUGCUUUCCCCAAAUUUGUUCAGUGAGCAGUGCUAUCAUAUUCUCCUUGCUCUUACCAUGGAUAGGUUUGGAGUUUGGGUAUUUUUAGUUCUCGCAUUUGGACCAAAAUGAUUGGGGCAGUGGAGAUUGACACGAGCAAUUUUGAACACAAGGUCAGACAAUGAAGGAUUUGUUGUCGAGAUAUCAAAAGUUGCUCAUAUCAACUGGAAAUAUAGAAGUUAUAUUCAGUAAUGCAGACAUAUAGUUUUUUUGCAUAUGAAAAUAGAUUGUCAACAUAUAUUAUUUGGCUCAAUAAAUUGUGUUGUGAAUCACUUCGAAUUGUUUGUAACAAUGCACAUUUUUCAUACAACACCUUAAUAUGUAGCUUAUAAGGCUUUUAGUUUGUGAAUAAUUUGUUCAAAGAGUCACACUGUAUCAUCACACAAGGCAACAAUAUAUUAAGGUGAAGACUUUGUCAUCUAUACUUGUUGAUACCUUUUCAAUUAUGCUUACCUUGCAUCCUUCUGUUAACAGUUUAGAAAUAUAGUUAUGUUCAUUGAUUUCUUCUACAGUUAUCCCACGUUAGUAUAGGUUGUGGACGAUCGUAUAGUGUUUUCUUUAAUUGCGGAUCAGGUGUCAUUCACUUUUGCAAAGAUAGGCCAGUAAGAUAUCUAGAAUUUCCUUCAUGUGGUUGCAUCAUUUUUUAAACCGUGUAAGUUUUGAGUGAAACUAUACUAUCUGUUAACACAAGGAUAAGAAAGAAUGGAAUUGAUUGUAAGCAAUUCUUCUUGAGAUAGAGACUUUCUGUGUAGUUUGCUGCAAGUGUUUAAAUCUGAAUUUCAGUUUGAGAUAUACAACCGACAAUCUGAGGUCAAUACUACUGCUCAGACAAUCUAGAUAUUUCAACAAAAUUUCUUUGCAAACUCGUACAGAAGCUUAAUAAUAUGCCUGCUACUUGGGGAUAUUGUGGUGUUAAAUGAUCUAAAUCUCGCUUCACAUAUAUCACAAUCCGAUACGGUGUUUGACAAAACCCGAAUUUUUUGGGAACAAAAAAGGUUGUGCUAGCAAGGAAAUUCACUUCAGCUCAAGACUUGAUAAGGCAUGUGGCGACCCUAGGAGGUGUUGUUGUGCUCACUCGCAUACCAUAUAUUCAGAGUUAAAGUUGUUUGCGUGCUUUCUAUGGUCUAAGUUAUUUUGAAUACAUCAGGUUUUUUAUGUUUGUUUGUAGCCUAAACCUUGCAGAUGGUCUCUACGAUGUAGCUAUAAAUUUUUUCUCAUGCCGACAGUGGUAACACAUGAAAGAUCCAGAAAGAUUUGAAGCGGCGUAGAUCCAGCCGGUGCAUACUAUUGCCUUCCAAGGCCUUGAAGGAGAUCAUAUAUGUUUGGCUACUGACAUGACAAGAAUUUCAGCAAAAAGGUGACAUGAAUUUUCACCUUCUCGUCUGCUCUUUUAUCUUUUGCUAUUCUGCAUUAACACUCAGGUGUCUGCUGUUUCAGAUUUCCAAUUAUUAGGCACAUGCUUUGCAGCUUGUAUUAGUACAUAUCACCAUGCAUCCAUGCCUAAGAUACUAGCGAAAUGAAGGAAACUUUUCCAUGAUUUGUGUAGACUGGAGUCCCUUUAACAUGCAUUCUCUAUUCUUGAUUUAAUAAUUCGACUAUAUGGUGUGCAUUUAACUAGUGGAUGAAACUAUAAUCACCGCUUGAUUCUAUGUCCAAUGCUAGAGAAAAGGUUAUUUUUCAUAUUACUGGGGAACAACCAAUUUGGCUUGUUCUAUGUCUGCUCAAAUAAUUGUUUCAGUUUCAAAUUUGUCGCAUAAGAAAUAAGCCAUCAAAGCACAGAAAUGCAAUCUUAGUAGCAAUACUAACUUAGGGCGCAGACAUUUAGUGCUCGGGCUUGCUUCCCUUUGGUAUCGUUAGAUAGUAGAGAUGACUGACAUAUGUUAAUGCAUGUGAAAACUCAACGUUAAAGCAAGCUGUCUUGUGAAAUACAUAACUGGCGUAACCACUUAGAAAAGGAAACCAGUUGUUCCCCACUGCUAUGAAAAAUACAGAGCUGACGUACAAGAUACAAAACUUAUUUGGAGGUAGUUAACAGAGGUGACAUUUAUUAGGGGGGUGACACUCAUGCAAGUAGCUACGGCUAGAGCGUUGGCCAUGAUUAGCAGCACCAUAAUGAGGGCAUUUGUCCUGGAAGUGUGGUCGGGGACUGGGGAUGAUUGAACACAGGUGACUGUCUUCUCAACUUGAUGUUGCUUUGAAUGCGUCGGACGCUGAUCCAAGUUGCGGCGAGCUGAUAUCCAUCAUGGCUUGGGAGGGAUUACUUGUAUUCUACCAAUUCAAAAUUAAUCUCAUGCAAUCAUUUCCUUGAUGACUAUGAGAGGUAUUCCCAUUUGCAAAUCUCUGCCUUCACGUAUGGCCUCAUGCGAGGUCCGGCCGCCAACGGCGCGAUGUGAAAUGCGGGUGUUGGAGGUGCAGGUGGAGGGGUGGAGCGACGACGACGACGGCCAGAGGAAGAGCCGGCCUUGUGGUCGUUCCUGCCCUUGCAGCCGGAGAUCCAGUGUGGCCGGCGGCGAGGUGGAGCUAGGGUUUGGAGAAACCAAGCGUGUCGGUAUUCAAGGAGGCAUGUGUUGCCGGGAGUGGGGAAGUGGAAGUGUGUACCCCCACCGGUCCAUGGCUUUCGCAUUAAAAAGGACGGCGACCACUCGGCCGGGGUGGCUGACAAGCGGGGCCAACCGCGCGUGCAUCGUAAAAGUGGACGGUGGGUGGUAGGUGGGUGAGGGAGUCCUGGAUAAGGGGUAUCCGAACAGCCGGACUAUAUACAUCGUCCGAACUAUAGAAGCGUCAAGAUACAAGACUCAAGACUUCGGCUCGUGUCCGGAUGGGACUCUCCUUUGCGUGGAAGACAAGCUUGGCGAUCCGGAUAUUAU
Molecule: long non-coding RNA, 4138 nt
Organism: Triticum aestivum (bread wheat)
Lineage: Eukaryota; Viridiplantae; Streptophyta; Magnoliopsida; Poales; Poaceae
Exons: 5
Source: RefSeq, a predicted model, not a curated record